Molecule: ribosomal RNA, 401 nt
Filed under: uncultured bacterium
Lineage: Bacteria
Description: bacterial SSU rRNA
Rfam family: Bacterial small subunit ribosomal RNA
Source: RNAcentral
GGGGAAUCUUGCACAAUGGGGGAAACCCUGAUGCAGCGACGCCGCGUGAACGAUGAAGCCCUUCGGGGUGUAAAGUUCUUUCGACAGGAACGAUAAUGACGGUACCUGGAGAAGAAGCUGCGGCUAACUACGUGCCAGCAGCCGCGGUAAUACGUAGGCAGCGAGCGUUGUUCGGAGUUACUGGGCGUAAAGAGUGCGUAGGCGGCGAGCCAAGUUUGGUGUGAAAUCUCCCGGCUUAACCGGGAGGGUGCGCCGAAAACUGGUUGGCUGGAAUAUGGGAGAGGAAAGCGGAAUUCCUGGUGUAGCGGUGAAAUGCGUAGAUAUCAGGAGGAACACCUGCGGUGUAGACAGCUUUCUGGACCAAAACUGACGCUGAGGCACGAAAGCGUGGGUAGCAAACA